RNAcentral lists this ribosomal RNA (492 nucleotides) under uncultured bacterium. RNAcentral describes it as "bacterial SSU rRNA". It matches the Rfam family "Bacterial small subunit ribosomal RNA", at positions 903 to 1397 of the family's 1533-position model. The record is from RNAcentral.
AAAGGAAUUGACGGGGGCCCGCACAAGCAGUGGAGUAUGUGGUUUAAUUCGAAGCAACGCGAAGAACCUUACCAGGGCUUGACAUACAGACGGAUAACAUAGAGAUAUGUUAGUCCUUCGGGACGUCUGAACAGGUGGUGCAUGGUUGUCGUCAGCUCGUGUCGUGAGAUGUUGGGUUAAGUCCCGCAACGAGCGCAACCCCUGUUGUUAGUUGCCAUCAUUAAGUUGGGCACUCUAGCGAGACUGCCGGUGACAAAUCGGAGGAAGGUGGGGACGACGUCAAAUCAUCAUGCCCCUUAUGUCCUGGGCUACACACGUACUACAAUGGCUAUUAACAGCGGGGAGCGAAGGCGUAAGCCGGAGCGAAUCCUUAAAAAUAGUCCCAGUUCGGAUUGUGGGCUGCAACUCGCCCACAUGAAGUAGGAAUUGCUAGUAAUGGCAGGUCAGCAUACUGCCGUGAAUACGUUCCCGGGCCUUGUACACACCGCCCGU